AAUUACUAGUUCCGGGUUCGAGUCCCGGGCAACCCA
RNAcentral lists this transfer RNA (36 nucleotides) under Stockwellia quadrifida. RNAcentral describes it as "partial tRNA-Lys". Lineage: Eukaryota; Viridiplantae; Streptophyta; Magnoliopsida; Myrtales; Myrtaceae. The record is from RNAcentral.